Molecule: ribosomal RNA, 165 nt
Filed under: uncultured bacterium
Lineage: Bacteria
Description: partial 16S rRNA
Rfam family: Bacterial small subunit ribosomal RNA
Source: RNAcentral
UAGGGAAUCUUCGGCAAUGGGGGCAACCCUGACCGAGCAACGCCGCGUGAGUGAAGAAGGUUUUCGGAUCGUAAAGCUCUGUUGUAAGAGAAGAACGUGUGUGAGAGUGGAAAGUUCACACAGUGACGGUAAUUUACCAGAAAGGGACGGCUAACUACGUGCCAG